GACGAACGCUGGCGGUGUGCUUAACACAUGCAAGUCGAACGGUAAGGCCCUUUCGGGGGUACACGAGUGGCGAACGGGUGAGUAACACGUGAGUAACCUGCCCUCAUCUCUGGGAUAACAGUCGGAAACGGUUGCUAAUACUGGAUAUGAGCUUGCAAGGCAUCUUGUGGGUUGGAAAGAUUUUUUUGGUUGGGGAUGGACUCGCGGCCUAUCAGCUUGUUGGUGAGGUAGUGGCUCACCAAGGCUCCGACGGGUAGCCGGCCUGAGAGGGCGACCGGCCACAUUGGGACUGAGAUACGGCCCAAACUCCUACGGGAGGCAGCAGUGGGGAAUAUUGCACAAUGGACGGAAGUCUGAUGCAGCAACGCCGCGUGCGGGAUGACGGCCUUCGGGUUGUAAACCGCUUUCAAUUGUGACGAAGCUUUUUGUGACGGUAGCAGUAGAAGAAGCACCGGCUAACUACGUG
Molecule: ribosomal RNA, 466 nt
Filed under: uncultured bacterium
Lineage: Bacteria
Description: partial 16S ribosomal RNA
Rfam family: Bacterial small subunit ribosomal RNA
Source: RNAcentral